RNAcentral lists this ribosomal RNA (504 nucleotides) under uncultured bacterium. RNAcentral's name for it is "partial 16S ribosomal RNA". It matches the Rfam family "Bacterial small subunit ribosomal RNA", at positions 30 to 523 of the family's 1533-position model. The record is from RNAcentral.
AUUGAACGCUGGCGGCAUGCCUUACACAUGCAAGUCGAACGGCAGCAUGGAGAGCUUGCUCUCUGAUGGCGAGUGGCGAACGGGUGAGUAAUGCAUCGGAACGUACCGUGUAAUGGGGGAUAACGUAGCGAAAGUUACGCUAAUACCGCAUACGACCUGAGGGUGAAAGCAGGGGAUCGCAAGACCUUGCGUUAUACGAGCGGCCGAUGUCAGAUUAGCUAGUUGGUUAGGUAAAGGCUCACCAAGGCGACGAUCUGUAGCGGGUCUGAGAGGAUCAUAGGCCACACGGGGAGUGAGACACGGUCCAGACUCCUACAGGAGGCAGCAGUGGGGAAUUUUGGACAAUGGGGGCAACCCUGAUCCAGCCAUGCCGCGUGAGUGAAGAAGGCCUUCGGGUUGUAAAGCUCUUUCGGCCGGGAAGAAAUCGUACAGGCUAAUACUCUGUGUGGAUGACGGUACCGGCAUGAGAAGCACCGGCUAACUACGUGCCAGCCGCCGCAGUAA